This is a long non-coding RNA of Leopardus geoffroyi (Geoffroy's cat), 1664 nucleotides long. RefSeq lists it as uncharacterized. The transcript has 4 exons. Lineage: Eukaryota; Metazoa; Chordata; Mammalia; Carnivora; Felidae. The record is from RefSeq and is a predicted model, not a curated record.
CAAGAGCCACGCAAGCAACGCCUGGACUGAAGGUCACGCUGCCUGGCUUUGUGGGGACAGAUGGCCAUCGCUCAUGAUGUUAGCAAGAAGCUUGACGCUGACUUCUGGACAUCAGCUGCUCACUGUCAUUCCUGAAAAGUCAACCAUAACCACCCUCAUUCCUGAGAAAGAAACUGGGACUCAGAGAUUAAGCGACUUGGUCCAAAGAGCCGAGCUAGAAUCUACCUAAAACCAGAACAGGCCCUUCUUCUACAUCCUACCCUGCAGCGCCCUAUAGAACAUUACAGACCUGCAGUCAUCUCGGGGUACGAAGUUCAAUCCCAGCUCCCGUGUUCCACUCCUACCCCUGGAAUUUUGGCCAAUUCUUGGCAUCCUGAGCAGAAAGGCCCUGCCACAAUGAACGCUGAACUGGUUACUGAGAAUGAGUUUAAUAUGAUCAAGAGGACAUUGACCAACUUUAUGUUGCUAGAUAAAGUUGCAGUGGAAAAAAGAUUGGAGAGCGCGAUGUGAAAUGGUUGUAAGGGGGAUUUUUGCCUGGAUUCCAUCUAAAUACGUCUCAAAAAAUUGUAAAAUAGAAUCUACCAGCUAAAACUAAUGAGCACAGAACUGCAUUGAUUUGGCCCAGGGUGGACAAAUAGAACAUCUGGCAUAUUUGGCACCAAUGACACAGCUGGCAUUGUUGGAAACGUCUCUGCAGAAGGUACAGAUGCAGAAAUGGGAGAAUUGGUACAAACAGUGCAGAUGGAGCAGUUGGAGCAGAUGACAGUGGGCAGAGCUGGCGAAGCUGGCACAGGUGUCAUAACCUCAACAGCUGGCACGGGUUGUGACAAUCCUGGGAUUUCUUAGUACGAGGCACAUGUUCAUUUUGGCUUUGGCCGCAAAGAGAUAAGAGCAUUUUAUAAUUAGUAAAUGUGCCAUUUGAAAAAGAACUUACCCCCCCUCCCCAUCCUUAAGGACAUCUACCUCCAACUGUUAAAGCUUGGGAUAUAGAGCAUUUUUGCAAAUUAGAAUUUCCUGGAGAAAGCCAUAAUUGAUAAAUGCAGAUUUCAGAGAGGAGGCAAUUCGAUAUUUUUGUUCUGAGACAGAGAUGAAAUCCAUGAAUGGGAUUUCUUCGCUGUAGUUUUGCGGGAAAGAAAGGUCAGAUUUGGGGAAAUGAAUGUACGCUUUGCAUUUCCGCCAUGAUCUGUUAUCAAAUUAGCUGCUAUUUGUUUCCGAAAUAGAAUAUUUCCCAAUUGUAUGAAAUUUCCUGGAGAAUCAUGCUUGAAGACGUGGUUCAGAAUUGGAAACCGGUCGGCAGAACAGGUUGGGAAAACAGAAAAAAAUGCUGGAAUACAUAAUAUGGAGAAAUCAUGAAUUGCCACUUUCAAAUACCAGUGGGACUUGGCUCUAAUUUCAUUUAAAAUGCUAUAAUUUGGGCUUGAAUUAAAAAUACAAUAUAGUAUAAUCUUUUGGGCAACGACAUUUAAUGCCAGAUGAAAAGUUAUGAGAACAAAGCAACUUGUUUCAGUGGCUAGAAAUAUCACUGUAACAAAAGUCCGUUCAAAAAGUCUAACAAAAGUAUGGGAAAGCCAAAAAGUAUUACCUAAUUAUAAAAUAAUAAAAGCAUAAGAAAGCAUUCAACAAUGGGUUCUUAAAUUUAUAUGUAUGUUCUCUCGAACAUAGUA